GACGAACGCUGGCGGCGUGCCUAAUACAUGCAAGUAGAACGCUGAAGAGAGGAGCUUGCUCUUCUUGGAUGAGUUGCGAACGGGUGAGUAACGCGUAGGUAACCUGCCUUGUAGCGGGGGAUAACUAUUGGAAACGAUAGCUAAUACCGCAUAACAAUGGAUGACACAUGUCAUUUAUUUGAAAGGGGCAAUUGCUCCACUACAAGAUGGACCUGCGUUGUAUUAGCUAGUAGGUGAGGUAAUGGCUCACCUAGGCGACGAUACAUAGCCGACCUGAGAGGGUGAUCGGCCACAAUGGGACUGAGAAACGGCCCAGACUCCUACGGGAGGCAGCAGUAGGGAAGCUUCGGACAUGGGGGCAACCCUGACCGAGCAACGCCGCGUGAGUGAAGAAGGUUUUCGGAUCGUAAAGCUCUGUUGUAAGUCGAGAAAGGGUGUGAGAGUGGAAAGUUCACACUGUGACGGUAGCUUACCAGAAAGGGACGGCUAACUACGUG
RNAcentral lists this ribosomal RNA (497 nucleotides) under uncultured bacterium. Its description in RNAcentral is "partial 16S ribosomal RNA". It matches the Rfam family "Bacterial small subunit ribosomal RNA", at positions 28 to 507 of the family's 1533-position model. The record is from RNAcentral.